GCCUAGCUGGCUCAGUCGGUAAAGCAUGAGACUCUUAAUCUCAGGGUUGUGAGUUCGAGCCCCAUACUGGGCA
Molecule: transfer RNA, 73 nt
Organism: Felis catus (domestic cat)
Lineage: Eukaryota; Metazoa; Chordata; Mammalia; Carnivora; Felidae
Rfam family: tRNA
About the family: Transfer RNA (tRNA) molecules are approximately 80 nucleotides in length. Their secondary structure includes four short double-helical elements and three loops (D, anti-codon, and T loops).
Source: Rfam